AUUUGGUGAUGGGGGCACUUGAUGCACAACCUCUUAAACCGCUCUCAGUAGUCAUAGAGCGACUAUCCUGGAUGCUGUUUGAUCCCGCAAAUUUCUUUCCUUAGACU
Molecule: small nucleolar RNA, 107 nt
Organism: Coffea eugenioides
Lineage: Eukaryota; Viridiplantae; Streptophyta; Magnoliopsida; Gentianales; Rubiaceae
Source: RefSeq, a predicted model, not a curated record